CAUAGCACGCGUACACCGGUGACGAAAGCUCUUGGAAGUAGGUCCUACUUAUGUAUUAGAUAUAUUAUUACUAAGUGGGAUUCCUUCUGCAGUCUGUAGGAGCCCACCAAUGACAGCCUCCUAUAUGAGUUUAAAAUAGUGCUGGCUAUGAGUGGUCGUGCUGAACCCGUGUUUUACAAACUCGCACAUCAGUUCCCAGCAAGGAAAAUACAGUUGCAGGCUCUGGGAUUGUCUGUGGCCAGCUCUGUAGACUCAUGAUAGGAGGAUGUGGUGGCUGGUGCGUCACUACAGCCCAGCGUGGCUGUGGAUGUUGUAAUGUUCCAGGUCAAGGCCAUCAUGCAGAAGAAGAGUCUGUUGGCAUGUGUUGUCAUCAUCUUCUGAUUUCCAAAGGAAAUAAUGGCUUUAAUUGUCUGUAACAAACAUAAAAAUUGCCCAUCAAUGUUGGAAAUAAAAAAAAAAUGUAAUGAUAAUCUGUUAGUUCUAGUCUGGACAACAUACAGUUAACAUUGAUGUUAAUGUAGAGCUUACAGUGUAAUAAAAUACA
Molecule: long non-coding RNA, 544 nt
Organism: Schistocerca nitens (vagrant locust)
Lineage: Eukaryota; Metazoa; Arthropoda; Insecta; Orthoptera; Acrididae
Exons: 3
Source: RefSeq, a predicted model, not a curated record